ACGGCCAGGAAGCGGCUCAGCAUGGGCGUCUGCGUGCGCGGCGUGUGGGGGCUGGGCUCCACGGUCUGGUGCUGCGCGGGGUCCUCGCUCAUCCUGCGGGCAGAGCACAACGCCACCGCGCUGAGACUCCAGACUCGCGCGGGCCGGGACACGGACUCCGACAAACAGACGACGUGAUGUGGGGAUGCACCUGCAGCGUAGGUGGACCCCAGGAAUGAAGGUUUGAGGGUCUCGGCGGCAGUGGCCAGGGUGUAGGGGAUGGCAGUGGAGGCUUCGUUCCAGUACUUGUCCUUCUCCGCAGGGGGCAGGUUCUGAUACAUGUCAUCGACAGCCAGCAGAGACACCUGGGGACACACGAGCACACUCUGUCGAUAAUUCCUGUAGAGCCUGUAACUGGGGAGACUUACAUCCAUGAGCAGCCUGAGCGCCACAUCGUCCCGGACGCGUCCCUCUCUGCG
This is a non-coding RNA of Lepisosteus oculatus (spotted gar), 458 nucleotides long. The record is from RefSeq and is a predicted model, not a curated record. NCBI's taxonomy places the organism in Eukaryota, Metazoa, Chordata, Actinopteri, Semionotiformes, Lepisosteidae.